UACACUGCUGCUGGUCUGUUAGGGAAAUUUCUUGGUAUAUUUGGUGGAGCAUUUUAAAAGAGAAUAUUGCACAUUGGGUUUUGGUUUAUGGAGGGAGAAGACAGUUUUAUUUUUCUCUUGCUGCAGAAAGGCAGCACUGCCAGGAAGCUCUUGCUUUCCUGGUUAAAGGAUAUAAGUGUAGAAACACUGUCAGUAAGAAGGAAUCAAUCCACUUACACUACUAUAAUUGAAGAAUUACUAAUAACUAUUAGUUUGGAAGACUGAAAAAGAUAAAAAUCUAUCUAUGAUAAAUAUUAGCUGAAUGAGAAGGGGAUGCUGGAUGUGGAUAUAAUGCUCUGUGUGCCUUUUCUAUGCCAAAAGACAUUUCUUAAGAGUCUGAGGUGUGAAAGAGAAGAAUGCAUCAUCAGCUACCUUUGAACAAUGCCAGCUAUAUAUGAGGAGACGACAGUCUCUAACAGUUUUAGCUGUUCAGGGUGA
Molecule: long non-coding RNA, 477 nt
Organism: Protopterus annectens (West African lungfish)
Lineage: Eukaryota; Metazoa; Chordata; Ceratodontiformes; Protopteridae
Exons: 4
Source: RefSeq, a predicted model, not a curated record